CCAGUUAAAUUUUAAUUUCAGAUAAUCAAUAAAUAAUUGUUAGUAUAAGUAUGUUCCAUGCAAUAUUUGGGACAUACUUAUACUAAAAAAAGUGUUCAUUGCUUAUCUGAAGUCAAAUUUAACUCAGCAUCCUGCA
Molecule: microRNA precursor, 136 nt
Organism: Choloepus hoffmanni (Hoffmann's two-fingered sloth)
Lineage: Eukaryota; Metazoa; Chordata; Mammalia; Pilosa; Megalonychidae
Source: Ensembl